Taeniopygia guttata (zebra finch) is the source of this 1130-nucleotide non-coding RNA. NCBI's taxonomy places the organism in Eukaryota, Metazoa, Chordata, Aves, Passeriformes, Estrildidae. The record is from RefSeq and is a predicted model, not a curated record.
CUCCUGCAUAACCAAAACAGAAGUGCAAAGAAAAGUUCAGAAUUGCGCAGCUUUUUCUCAAACAGUUUCUAGUAAUCUUUGGAGUAUUUAGUAUUAUUAAGAUACAGAUUAGGUCACAUUCCAGAAUUAAAUUCCUUUUUUUUUAAUUAUAGUACUAACCACAAAAAUAACUUUGUUUGCUAGACUCACCUGAUGCCUGAAACAUCACAGCUGCGCUAUUCUGAAUGCAACAGAUCUGUAUAUUGUAAUAGACCAAGAAAUCCACAAGAAAAAAAAUUCCCUUAAAAUACAUAUACACAUACUCUUGUAAACAAUGUACUGAUAUUGUUCAACAUGUACAUAUGUAUAAUGUAAGCAAUUUUUGGUUACAUAAUGUCUUGGGUAGGCAUGCUUGUUACAUCUAGCUUGUUAAAUCUCAAAAUUCAAUUUUCAUUUUGGAGAUAAUUUUAUUCCAAUGGAUAAAUAAGAUGAUUUAUCCAAGAUCCGAAAAUGAGCUGUCUUGUAAACUAGGUUCAGGGAGAAAACAAAAACUAGGAAGUCAGGGUCUGGCUGAGCCAUGACAGAAAUACUGUAUAUUCCUUGUCACAUUGCAGCACGCAAAUUCCACAGAUUUCUACCAAAAAGAGCCUGACUAACACUUGUAUGAAAGCUUAGUCAACUACAGCUGUGUCUUAGUCUGGAGGAGCCCAUGACAAAUAAACAGAAGCAGCUCUGCUUUCCUCUUGGAACCAGGUUUGGUACCGACAGAUAAAAUCCAUUCAGGCAGCACAUGAGAAACUCAAGCGCAAGUUAUCAAAACAAGGAUCAGCCAAAUAUGGCAAGUUGUAAAGAUGUUCAAGACGUAGCUCUGGUACGCCCCUGAAGCUAUUUUGUCUUUGAAAAUCCCACUGCAUCGUCCUCCGGUGACUGAAAUUACAACUGCUGUAAACCAUGGAGACAGCCAUGAAAAUCACUGUUCUGGACCAGAGUGGCACUGAAACCAAAGACCCAUUUGCUGCAUUUUCAUGAGAUCAAGAUACAGGACAAAUGAGGAGGAACAGCCACUACUCACCAAGUCCUCAGGCAUGGAACACUGGUCUGAGCCCUCAGUCUGAAAGAAAAGGGUAUGAGAGCUAUUCUAAAGCUGUAUG